This 492-nucleotide ribosomal RNA is filed under the name uncultured bacterium. RNAcentral's name for it is "partial 16S ribosomal RNA". It matches the Rfam family "Bacterial small subunit ribosomal RNA", at positions 29 to 507 of the family's 1533-position model. The record is from RNAcentral.
AGUGAACGCUGGCGGUAGGCCUAACACAUGCAAGUCGAACGGCAGCACAGUAAGAGCUUGCUCUUACGGGUGGCGAGUGGCGGACGGGUGAGGAAUACAUCGGAAUCUACUUUUUCGUGGGGGAUAACGUAGGGAAACUUACGCUAAUACCGCAUACGACCUACGGGUGAAAGCAGGGGAUCUUCGGACCUUGCGCGAUUGAAUGAGCCGAUGUCGGAUUAGCUAGUUGGCGGGGUAAAGGCCCACCAAGGCGACGAUCCGUGGCUGGUCUGAGAGGAUGAUCAGCCACACUGGAAUUGAGACACGGUCCAGACUCCUACGGGAGGCAGCAGUGGGGAAUAUUGGACAAUGGGCGCAAGCCUGAUCCAGCCAUACCGCGUGGGUGAAGAAGGCCUUCGGGUUGUAAAGCCCUUUUGUUGGGAAAGAAAAGCAGCAGGUUAAUACCCCGCUGUUCUGACGGUACCCAAAGAAUAAGCACCGGCUAACUUCGUG